AGUCACAUCUUUUGCAAUAUGUGAUCUUAGCAAGAUCCAUUUGAAAUGAAGUCUCAGAGCUGACAAGCAGUGAUUUAUCACUGUACAGAACUGGAAGAGGACAUACAGAGGGGCCAGACCACGGGGAAAUGUCAUAAAAUGAGACGAAGAUGUGGCCUGAACUCUAACAGGCAGAUAAUUCUCCCAGAUUGUCUCUCUGCACCAUCAAACAAUAACUUCAGAUGCUGUUCAAAUAUGACAGUAUUGAUCAGAAUUCGCAGAUGACAGAAAAGUGAAGUUAUUGGUCCCACUGCAGAUAGAAGCAUGUGAUUCUGCUGUCCGUGAAACAACAGCAUGGUUCUUCUGUAAUGGAGGAAGGAGUGACUGACAUUAGAACACCCAAGACAACAGGUCCAGAGAAGGAUUUGCCAAAGGAAUCUGGUAGUGACCAGUAAGAAUGAAGAGAGAAACAAACCUUUUCUGAUUAUAGAGAUGGACUUGGAAGAUCUGGCUCAGGGCUGGCAUUGGGUAACAUCAGAGACUCAGGUCUAAAACCACAUACUCGGCCCUUAACCCACGUCAUUCUCACAUCCAUAGCAAAGGUUCAUUGUUCUCUUUUGGUUUGGGUAUUUUUUCAGAGCUCUCAGUCGGGCUGUUACUUCCUCUUGCUUCUCUCAUCUCCCACAGCUGAACACUUUGGGCCACGCUGAUCCUGCCCAGUGGCCACUUCAGUCCAUUUUCUCCCAUUCUUGAAAUUUAUGGUCAUUUUUGCCUUAUUCGUUUGAUAAGAAAUGGAUAUUUGGAAUUCAAACAAAACUUUCUGACUCGGAUAUUCCACAGCGAGGCAAUAUCAGCAUGCACUGACAUCUAUAUUAGCAGCAAGGUAAACUGUCUUUCUUUGAAGAAAUAUCUCCUUUUUAAAGUUUCCCCUGAGGUGACACAGUUUCUGGUAGAUAAAUACUUGAAGUGCUUUCUCUUAGAAAAAUGGAAAUGGAAAUCGUUUGAUGUUCUCAUAAGGCACAAACCCAUGGGGCUGUUUGGGACUUCUCAGCAAACUUCCUACCUGUAUUCUAGGAUGGGGGAUUAAUUUCAGAUUGUGAGUACAGCUGAGAAGAGCAGUAAAGGAAGAGCCAGAGGCUGCUGCCUGGAUUUUGUGCAGGUUUUGUUCAGGUAUUGUAGCCACAAAGCAGCUGAAAUAAACUUUCCACAAACCCUGAUUUAGCUGAUUGCUAAAGAGUGUGAAUAUCACAACAGGUAGCUCAGCUAUCUUAGCUUGGCUCAACAUAAGCAUGGAGAAGUGUAAAUAUAUUCAGCCUACAGGGGAGAGAGCAAUUCCCUGAAUUGGCUGGGGCUGCUUCUGGCUUUUCUUUCUCCUGCAUCACUCCAGUGUGUUAUCUGCAUUUCCUGAUUGCUUCACACUGUUCCUGCUAAGACCUUUGACUCCUACUCGCUUCUUUUUUGACAUCAUUUGAGAAGUAAUAGCUUUUAAAAAUUGUAUUUCAAGCAAUUGACUUUCUGCAGGGCUGAGAACAGCAAGGCUAUUGUGCAGUGGUGAGGCCAGGGAGCAGAUGGUGACACUGAUGCUAGUUAUUGAGAAACGAGAAGAUCUCAGUAACUCAUAGCUGUGGAGAUAAGUGAUUUUCUACAUAAAACAUCAUGGAAUAGUUUGAGUUGGAAGGGACCUUUAAAGGUCAUCGAGUCCAGCUCUCCACAUAAUGAUCUGUUACCCUUUGACUUCUGCGUAUUCCUUUAAUUCUAGUCAGUAUCCAAACAUUUUUCCUGUAGGUUCCUGAAUCUUUUAGCAGUUAUAAAGUAUUUAUUUGUAUUGUCUCAUGUCUGUCACUCAUAGCUGUGUGCUGCUGGCUGGUGGGAGAGAACAAGCUGAAACACAAAGCAUUUCAGCAACACUGGCAUAAACAGUGCACAAGUGCCAGAGGGGCUGAUUUGGGAAGAUUCUUAAGAUAUAUCUGCCCCAACACUGUCAGUAGCUGUUCCUUGGUGUGAAGUGUUGAAGAAAUGAAUGUGUGCUAAGGAAUGUUGGAGCCACAUGUGCAGAGGUGGCACAUCUGGCUCUGCCUUUUCUCCCAGAAAGAUGUACCCUCUGGCAGUAGGAGAGAGCUGGAGCUGGGAAUGCUGCUGUAUGGUGAAGCUGACUGAGCCCUAAUCCUGCCCUCAGCCUCACUGCAUCUCAGAGAGUGAAAUGCCACAUGUGGGAAUCAUAGAAUAGUCUGAGUUGGAAGGGACCUUUAAAGGCCAUCUGAUCCAAGCCCCUGCAAUGAACAGGAACACCCACAGCUCCAUCAGUGCUCAGAACUUCUCCAGCCUGACCUGCAAUUUGAACAUUCAAAGUUGUUUAACGUCUAAUUGUAAUUGUGUCACAUUUAGGUGAAGGACUCUGUUUUGGAAGAAAAUCAAAGAGAACAAACAAACAUAACCCCCCCAAGGAAACAAAACUCACUGCUUUUGAAGUUAAAGCAAACACUGCUGUUUGCCAGUGACACACAUGCUUGCUGACCAGCAAACAGCCAGGAGAGAUGGUUAGAGCACCUGGUGUGCGAUGGCAGAGAAGGAUGUUCACAGGUGUUUAGGGCAGGAAACCAUGAAAGAAACAAAUGCAGAUCCUUGUACUUCAAUGUCAAGAGACAACUGCAAAUUGAAGCAUGUAAAGAUCUUGCUGAUCCUACACAGAGGACCCACGGUGCAUCUUGAAUUGCCACAGUUUUCAUUGCAGAUCUCUGAUGUAUUUUCAGGGCCAGUUACAAGAAGAAACAGUAGGUUACACAAUAUUAAGCAAUUUCUUUUGAUGUGUGAGUCAACAAGGCAUAGAGUAUGAACCAUGUAUGAUCCUCACGGGCAGCCUCUUGGCUUCAUUUCUAGGGGGAAAAAUAAGAGAGCACAUAAUUGUUGGUCCCAGCAGGGAAGGAAAGGAAAAAAGAGCUGUAGCCAACAGCAGAGCUAUAGGAGUCCCAAAUGUAUGAGCUGCUGUGUAUGUACCUUCUCUGGGGGAAGCCUGCACAGCCCUAGAGCAUAAACAGCAACAGCUGUUUACAUCCUCAGCCUGCUCUGGGUGAGGGGGAGGUCUUUUUUUAUUUGGAGGAGAAACAUUAAAGAGUAUCUAUCCUCUUUUUUUCCCCAGAUUUCACCAUGUGUUUAAUAGGCCAAAGUGAAAAACAAACAAAGCGCAAAGCCAGCAAUUCUGGUUUGGAUUUUGUGAAAACAUGCACCGUAAAAAAAACAUUCAGAUAUCACAUAAUUUUUUUUCCUGAGAUUCGUAGGAAACAAAAGCAGCCAAUACUGACAAUGAGCAUUUCCCACAAUUAACUACUGAAGUUCCAAAACACGCAUCCAGGAGGACCAAAAAGGGAGAUACCACAGUGGAGAAUUUACUUUGAAGUUGGAUUAAACCAAUGUUCAGUUUUAUCAGACAUGAGACAAAGAAUUGGACUGAAGUCCAUCCCAACACAGAUACAUCCUGACUUUGCAACUGAAGUGUUACAGACCAAAGCCAGCAGUUCUAUGCUAUUUUGUGAACUUCUUCACUUGUAGUAACACAAUAUUUGGUUGGGACUUGUAGCUGCCUGGGCACAUCUCUUCAUUUAUCCAUAUUACUUUAAUAGCAGCUAAAAUCUAUGAAAUUCAAUCACAUUCUUCCCUCCACAUUGCCACUGGUCCCAGCUGAACAGCAUAGCAAUUACUUCAUGUGAUCUGUCCAUAUAAACUAUCCCCAAAGUGUAAGCAAAGCCCACUAAAGAGGAGUCUUGAUUAGCUUGCAAGUCUGCUGCAGGCAGCUGUGACUGAGAGGAGCAUGGCUUGGGUUCCACCUGGUGGCCAGGAGGCAUCCGUGAGAGCC
This is a non-coding RNA of Coturnix japonica (Japanese quail), 3829 nucleotides long. The record is from RefSeq and is a predicted model, not a curated record. NCBI's taxonomy places the organism in Eukaryota, Metazoa, Chordata, Aves, Galliformes, Phasianidae.